AAGCCAGCCUGUGUGAGCGGCCACCAGCGGCCAGGCAGCCCUCAGCCUGGUGUCCCCGAGCAAGCCCACCAGCCAGGUCGCGGGCCCUGACUGCUGUCUGCUGUAUCCCCGCCUCCCCGGGACAGCGUACCUGAGGCCCUGCCAAGCUGCCCUUCCUGCUGGCGGUCCCUGCUCUGCCCCGCUGCCCUGUCGCGAUAGCUGGUGAGCCUGGCUCACGGGGCCUCAGACCUGCCAGGACCAUCUCACCACCUUGCCUGCUGACAGAGCCUCAAACCAGGCCCCUCCGCCCACCUGCCAAGAGGCCUUGAGCAGGUCGUGGCCCCUCUCCUGGUCUUCUUCACUUCCCCCCUUGUGAAACGGGGCUGACUCUGCCUUCUCACAGGCUGCUGCAAAGGAGAAAUAGGAGUGCAUUUGGAAUCAUCCGGUAUACAGUAGGUGCUCAAUAGGCACGUAUGCCUUUCUGCCCUUUUCCUGCCCUCCCGAGGGAGUGGCCACCCUGGCCUUGUCCCCGAGGCCCUGCCCCCAGCUUUCUUC
This 534-nucleotide long non-coding RNA is filed under the name Ursus maritimus (polar bear). Its description in RNAcentral is "lncRNA (ENSUMAG00000013122.1)". The record is from RNAcentral. Lineage: Eukaryota; Metazoa; Chordata; Mammalia; Carnivora; Ursidae.